CUUCUCUUUCUCCCCCUUCUAGUGAAACUCAAUGCUCUCACCCUCCCCUCUAACUGAAGCAAAGUUCAAGUUUGGUACCAAACCAAAACCCUAGGUUCCUCUUUCGCUUCUUCCUCCUUACCCUCUUGUAGAUCGGCACGUUGUCCCCAUCCUCCGUCUUCAUAUUCUCGGCGUCAUCGUCAACUCGUCAUCUUCUCUCCAUCAUCUGGUCGGCAUCUUCUGUCAAUCAACGGUCGGUCGGCGUCGUCUUCGAAGGUCAGUGGCUCAAUGCUCGCUUGUUCUUCACUUGUUCAGUUUUUGUUCUUUUUUUCUUUUAUACUCUGUUUUUGUGAUUUCUGGAUUGACUUCAGCGAAUGCAUGUCUUGCUGCCGUGAGCCCAAGGACUG
RNAcentral lists this long non-coding RNA (386 nucleotides) under Arachis ipaensis. RNAcentral describes it as "long non-coding RNA (AIPA_LNC002251)". The record is from RNAcentral. Lineage: Eukaryota; Viridiplantae; Streptophyta; Magnoliopsida; Fabales; Fabaceae.